Molecule: unclassified non-coding RNA, 434 nt
Filed under: soil metagenome
Description: partial contains 5.8S ribosomal RNA, internal transcribed spacer 2, and large subunit ribosomal RNA
Rfam family: 5.8S ribosomal RNA (bases 1-120)
Source: RNAcentral
GAUGAAGAACGUAGCGAAAUGCGAUAAGUAGUGUGAAUUGCAGAAUUCAGUGAAUCAUCGAAUCUUUGAACGCAUAUUGCGCUCUUUGGUAUUCCGAAGAGCAUGCUUGUUUGAGUAUCAGUAAACACCUCAAAGCUUUUGGAUUUUUUAAUCGAAAAGCUUUGGACUUGAGCAAUCCCAACACCAAUCUUUUUGAGAUCGGUGGCGGGUUGCUUGAAAUGCAGGUGCAGCUGGACAUUCUCCUGAGCUAAAAGCAUAUUCAUUUAGUCCCGUCAAACGGAUUAUUACUUUUGCUGCAGCUAACAUAAAGGGAGUUUGACCGUAUUGGCUGACUGAUGCAGGAUUUCACAAGGGUCGGCAACGAUUCUUGUUAAACUCGAUCUCAAAUCAAGUAAGACUACCCGCUGAACUUAAGCAUAUCAAUAAGCGGAGGA